This 381-nucleotide long non-coding RNA is filed under the name Mus pahari (shrew mouse). RNAcentral's name for it is "lncRNA (MGP_PahariEiJ_G0004333.1)". Lineage: Eukaryota; Metazoa; Chordata; Mammalia; Rodentia; Muridae. The record is from RNAcentral.
CUAAGCCCAUAGACAUGAGGGCUGGCCUGCUAGAGAAAGAGCGACCUGGACAGAACAUGGCAGGAAUUGUGUACUGAUGGCGGUAGAUGUGGAGGAGGGUGGAUGCCCUGUCUGACCUUAUGAUGCUCCGUAGAAGAUGAGACCCUCUAGGGAGAAGACUGACCUGAAGCUCAAGGAUAACCUUAAACAUCUGACCCGCAGCCUCUGCUUCCCAUUGCUGAAUUGUGAUGGAUCUCAUUCGUGCUUUUCUCAUCACUGGAACAAAACCUCUGACUGGAGCCACUUAAGGAAGGGAAUGUUCACUUGCCCCACAUUGUGAAAAGCUACGCUGACAGGGGAGGACUCAGCCUGUGCAGUUCACAUUCAGGGCAGGCCCUCCCA